RNAcentral lists this ribosomal RNA (460 nucleotides) under uncultured bacterium. Its description in RNAcentral is "partial 16S ribosomal RNA". It matches the Rfam family "Bacterial small subunit ribosomal RNA", at positions 338 to 795 of the family's 1533-position model. The record is from RNAcentral.
CCUACGGGAGGCAGCAGUGAGGAAUAUUGGUCAAUGGACGAGAGUCUGAACCAGCCAAGUAGCGUGAAGGAUGACUGCCCUAUGGGUUGUAAACUUCUUUUAUAAAGGAAUAAAACGAGGCACGUGUGCCUUUUUGCAUGUACUUUAUGAAUAAGGAUCGGCUAACUCCGUGCCAGCAGCCGCGGUAAUACGGAGGAUCCGAGCGUUAUCCGGAUUUAUUGGGUUUAAAGGGAGCGUAGGUGGGUUGUUAAGUCAGUUGUGAAAGUUUGCGGCUCAACCGUAAAAUUGCAAUUGAUACUGGCAGUCUUGAGUACAGUUGAGGUAGGCGGAAUUCGUGGUGUAGCGGUGAAAUGCGUAGAUAUCACGAAGAACCCCGAUUGCGAAGGCAGCUUACUAAACUGUGACUGACAUUGAUGCUCGAAAGUGUGGGUAGCAAACAGGAUUAGAUACCCGAGUAGUC